UGCCAGCCGCCGCGGUAAUACGGAGGGGGCAAGCGUUGUUCGGAAUUACUGGGCGUAAAGGGCGUGUAGGCGGCGGUUUUAGUCAGGCGUGAAAGCCCGAGGCUCAACCUCGGAAUAGCGCUUGAUACUGAACUGCUUGAGACCGGAAGAGGGUAGUGGAAUUCCCAGUGUAGAGGUGAAAUUCGUAGAUAUUCGGUGGAACACCAGUGGCGAAGGCGACUAACUGGACUGAUACUGACGCUGAGGUGCGAAAGCUAGGGUAGCAAACGGGAUUAGAUA
This 279-nucleotide ribosomal RNA is filed under the name uncultured bacterium. RNAcentral describes it as "partial 16S ribosomal RNA". It matches the Rfam family "Bacterial small subunit ribosomal RNA", at positions 506 to 784 of the family's 1533-position model. The record is from RNAcentral.